Non-coding RNA from Salmo salar (Atlantic salmon), 99 nucleotides. NCBI's taxonomy places the organism in Eukaryota, Metazoa, Chordata, Actinopteri, Salmoniformes, Salmonidae. The record is from RefSeq and is a predicted model, not a curated record.
AGUUCAGGGAGGAGCACCUGGCCCGAGCCCCAGACCAGCGCGCAGAAUUGAGGCCAGGCCAAGGACCUGAGCCCUAGGACCAUGCCUCAUGACUACCCG